Molecule: ribosomal RNA, 206 nt
Filed under: uncultured bacterium
Lineage: Bacteria
Description: partial 16S ribosomal RNA
Rfam family: Bacterial small subunit ribosomal RNA
Source: RNAcentral
GGCGUAGACGGUGUGGCAAGUCUGAUGUGAAAGGCAUGGGCUCAACCUGUGGACUGCAUUGGAAACUGUCAUACUUGAGUGCCGGAGGGGUAAGCGGAAUUCCUAGUGUAGCGGUGAAAUGCGUAGAUAUUAGGAGGAACACCAGUGGCGAAGGCGGCUUACUGGACGGUAACUGACGUUGAGGCUCGAAAGCGUGGGAGCAAACA